UACGGGGGGGGCAAGCGUUGUUCGGAAUUACUGGGCGUAAAGGGCUCGUAGGUGGCCAACUAAGUCAGACGUGAAAUCCCUCGGCUUAACCGGGGAACUGCGUCUGAUACUGGAUGGCUGGAGUAUGGGAGAGGGAUGCGGAAUUCCAGGUGUAGCGGUGAAAUGCGUAGAUAUCUGGAGGAACACCGGUGGCGAAGGCGGCAUCCUGGACCAACACUGACACUGAGGAGCGAAAGCCAGGGGAGCAAACGGG
Molecule: ribosomal RNA, 253 nt
Filed under: uncultured bacterium
Lineage: Bacteria
Description: partial 16S ribosomal RNA
Rfam family: Bacterial small subunit ribosomal RNA
Source: RNAcentral